This 336-nucleotide unclassified non-coding RNA is filed under the name soil metagenome. Its description in RNAcentral is "partial contains 5.8S ribosomal RNA, internal transcribed spacer 2, and large subunit ribosomal RNA". The stretch from base 1 to 120 matches the Rfam family "5.8S ribosomal RNA", at positions 35 to 154 of the family's 154-position model. The record is from RNAcentral.
GAUGAAGAACGCAGCGAAAUGCGAUAAGUAAUGUGAAUUGCAGAAUUCAGUGAAUCAUCGAAUCUUUGAACGCACAUUGCGCCCGCCAGUAUUAUGGCGGGCAUGCCUGUUCGAGCGUCAUUUCAACCAUCAAGCCCCAGGCUUGUGUUGGGGACCUGCGGCUGCCGCAGGCCCUGAAAACCAGUGGCGGGCUCGCUGUCACACCGGGCGUAGUAGAUUUUAUCUCGCUCAGGGCGUGCUGCGGGUUCCGGCCGUUAAAAAGCCUUUUUUACCCAAGGUUGACCUCGGAUCAGGUAGGAAGACCCGCUGAACUUAAGCAUAUCAAUAAGCGGAGGA